Molecule: ribosomal RNA, 497 nt
Filed under: uncultured bacterium
Lineage: Bacteria
Description: partial 16S ribosomal RNA
Rfam family: Bacterial small subunit ribosomal RNA
Source: RNAcentral
GAUGAACGCUGGCGGCGUGCCUAAUACAUGCAAGCCGAGCGAACAGAUAAGGAGCUUGCUCCUUUGACGUUAGCGGCGGACGGGUGAGUUACACGUGGAUAACCUACCUAUAAGACUGGGAUAACUUCGGGAAACCGGAGCUAAUACCGGAUAACAUAUUGAACCGCAUGGUUCAAUAGUGAAAGGCGGCUUUGCUGUCACUUAUAGAUGGAUCCGCGCCGUAUUAGCUAGUUGGUAAGGUAACGGCUUACCAAGGCAACGAUACGUAGCCGACCUGAGAGGGUGAUCGGCCACACUGGAACUGAGACACGGUCCAGACUCCUACGGGAGGCAGCAGUAGGGAAUCUUCCGCAAUGGGCGAAAGCCUGACGGAGCAACGCCGCGUGAGUGAUGAAGGUCUUCGGAUCGUAAAACUCUGUUAUCAGGGAAGAACAAAUGUGUAAGUAACUGUGCACAUCUUGACGGUACCUGAUCAGAAAGCCACGGCUAACUACGUG